UACGAAGGGGGCUAGCGUUGCUCGGAAUCACUGGGCGUAAAGCGCACGUAGGCGGCUUCUUAAGUCAGGGGUGAAAUCCUGGAGCUCAACUCCAGAACUGCCUUUGAUACUGAGAAGCUUGAGUCCGGGAGAGGUGAGUGGAACUGCGAGUGUAGAGGUGAAAUUCGUAGAUAUUCGCAAGAACACCAGUGGCGAAGGCGGCUCACUGGCCCGGUACUGACGCUGAGGUGCGAAAGCUAGGGGAGCGAAAGGG
Molecule: ribosomal RNA, 253 nt
Filed under: uncultured bacterium
Lineage: Bacteria
Description: partial 16S ribosomal RNA
Rfam family: Bacterial small subunit ribosomal RNA
Source: RNAcentral